AUAGUAUUGCCUCUGUCCCAAAAAGCAUGUCUUAGAUUUGUCUAGAUACGGAUGUAUCUAACACUAAAACAUGUAGUGUUAGAUACAUCCAUAUGUAGACAAAUCUAAUACAAGCUUUUUCGGACUGAGGGAGUAUCUG
This is a non-coding RNA of Triticum aestivum (bread wheat), 139 nucleotides long. The record is from Rfam. Lineage: Eukaryota; Viridiplantae; Streptophyta; Magnoliopsida; Poales; Poaceae.